AUUGAACGCUGGCGGCAGGCCUAACACAUGCAAGUCGAACGAGUGGCGGACGGGUGAGACACGUCGGGGAAACUGCCUGCUGGAGGGGGAUAACUACGGGAAACGGUAGCUAAUACCGCAUACCAUCAGAUGUGCCCAGAUGGGAUUAGCUAGUGGGUGGGGUAACGGCUCACCUAGGUGACGAGCCCUAGCUGGUCAGAGAGGAUGACCGGCCACACUGGAACUGAGACACGGUCCAGACUCCUACGGUAGGCAGCAGUGGGGAAUAUUGCACAAUGGGCGCAAGCCUGAUGCAGCCAUGCCGCGUGUGUGAAGAAGGCCUUCGGGUUGUAAAGCACUUUCAGCGGGGAGGCGUUACCCGCAGAAGAAGCACCGGCUAACUCCGUGCCAGCAGCCGCGGUAAUAC
RNAcentral lists this ribosomal RNA (406 nucleotides) under uncultured bacterium. RNAcentral describes it as "partial 16S ribosomal RNA". It matches the Rfam family "Bacterial small subunit ribosomal RNA", at positions 29 to 526 of the family's 1533-position model. The record is from RNAcentral.